AUGGCGGACAAAGGGUUUGACAUUCAAAGAGUCUUGCCUGACGGUCUCGCUAUUA
Molecule: microRNA precursor, 55 nt
Filed under: Triops cancriformis
Lineage: Eukaryota; Metazoa; Arthropoda; Branchiopoda; Notostraca; Triopsidae
Description: microRNA tcf-mir-10323 precursor
Source: miRBase by way of RNAcentral